RNAcentral lists this ribosomal RNA (802 nucleotides) under Bacillus xiamenensis. RNAcentral describes it as "bacterial SSU rRNA". It matches the Rfam family "Bacterial small subunit ribosomal RNA", at positions 251 to 1045 of the family's 1533-position model. The record is from RNAcentral. Lineage: Bacteria; Bacillati; Bacillota; Bacilli; Caryophanales; Bacillaceae.
GGUGAGGUAACGGCUCACCAAGGCGACGAUGCGUAGCCGACCUGAGAGGGUGAUCGGCCACACUGGGACUGAGACACGGCCCAGACAACUACGGGAGGCAGCAGUAGGGAAUCUUCCGCAAUGGACGAAAGUCUGACGGAGCAACGCCGCGUGAGUGAUGAAGGUUUUCGGAUCGUAAAGCUCUGUUGUUAGGGAAGAACAAGUGCAAGAGUAACUGCUUGCACCAUGACGGUACCUAACCAGAAAGCCACGGCUAACUACGUGCCAGCAGCCGCGGUAAUACGUAGGUGGCAAGCGUUGUCCGGAAUUAUUGGGCGUAAAGGGCUCGCAGGCGGUUUCUUAAGUCUGAUGUAAAGCCCCCGGCUCAACCGGGGAGGGUCAUUGGAAACUGGGAAACUUGAGUGCAGAAGAGGAGAGUGGAAUUCCACGUGUAGCGGUGAAAUGCGUAGAGAUGUGGAGGAACACCAGUGGCGAAGGCGACUCUCUGGUCUGUAACUGACGCUGAGGAGCGAAAGCGUGGGGAGCGAACAGGAUUAGAUACCCUGGUAGUCCACGCCGUAAACGAUGAGUGCUAAGUGUUAGGGGGUUUCCGCCCCUUAGUGCUGCAGCUAACGCAUUAAGCACUCCGCCUGGGGAGUACGGUCGCAAGACUGAAACUCAAAGGAAUUGACGGGGGCCCGCACAAGCGGUGGAGCAUGUGGUUUAAUUCGAAGCAACGCGAAGAACCUUACCAGGUCUUGACAUCCUCUGACAACCCUAGAGAUAGGGCUUUCCCUUCGGGGACAGAGUGACAGGUGGUGCA